This 75-nucleotide ribosomal RNA is filed under the name Paenibacillus glucanolyticus. RNAcentral's name for it is "partial 23S ribosomal RNA". It matches the Rfam family "Bacterial large subunit ribosomal RNA", at positions 2851 to 2925 of the family's 2925-position model. The record is from RNAcentral. Lineage: Bacteria; Bacillati; Bacillota; Bacilli; Caryophanales; Paenibacillaceae.
GGUAGAUAGGUUGGAGGUGGAAGUGCAGCAAUGCAUGGAGCUGACCAAUACUAAUCGGUCGAGGGCUUAUCCAAA